Molecule: ribosomal RNA, 253 nt
Filed under: uncultured bacterium
Lineage: Bacteria
Description: partial 16S ribosomal RNA
Rfam family: Bacterial small subunit ribosomal RNA
Source: RNAcentral
UACGAAGGGGGCUAGCGUUGCUCGGAAUUACUGGGCGUAAAGCGCACGUAGGCGGCUUUCUAAGUCGGGGGUGAAAUCCUGGAGCUCAACUCCAGAACUGCCUUCGAUACUGAAGAGCUCGAGUCCGGGAGAGGUGAGUGGAACUGCGAGUGUAGAGGUGAAAUUCGUAGAUAUUCGCAAGAACACCAGUGGCGAAGGCGGCUCACUGGCCCGGUACUGACGCUGAGGUGCGAAAGCGUGGGGAGCAAACAGG